This 384-nucleotide ribosomal RNA is filed under the name uncultured bacterium. RNAcentral's name for it is "bacterial SSU rRNA". It matches the Rfam family "Bacterial small subunit ribosomal RNA", at positions 29 to 414 of the family's 1533-position model. The record is from RNAcentral.
AUUGAACGCUGGCGGCGUGCCUAACACAUGCAAGUCGAGCGGCAGCGCGGUAGCAAUACUGGCGGCGAGCGGCGGACGGGUGAGCAAUGCUUGGGAAUCUGCCUAUCAGUGGGGGACAACCCGGGGAAACUCGGGCUAAUACCGCAUACGUUCUUCGGAAGAAAGCAGGGGAUCGCAAGACCUUGCGCUGAUAGAUGAGCCCAAGUCGGAUUAGCUAGUUGGCGGGGUAAAGGCCCACCAAGGCGACGAUCGAUAGCUGGUCUGAGAGGAUGAUCAGCCACACUGGAACUGAGACACGGUCCAGACUCCUACGGGAGGCAGCAGUAGGGAAUAUUGGACAAUGGGGGCAACCCUGAUCCAGCCAUGCCGCGUGUGUGAAGAAGG